This 2902-nucleotide ribosomal RNA is filed under the name Escherichia coli. Its description in RNAcentral is "23S ribosomal RNA". It matches the Rfam family "Bacterial large subunit ribosomal RNA". The record is from RNAcentral. Lineage: Bacteria; Pseudomonadati; Pseudomonadota; Gammaproteobacteria; Enterobacterales; Enterobacteriaceae.
UUAAGCGACUAAGCGUACACGGUGGAUGCCCUGGCAGUCAGAGGCGAUGAAGGACGUGCUAAUCUGCGAUAAGCGUCGGUGAGGUGAUAUGAACCGUUAUAACCGGCGAUUUCCGAAUGGGGAAACCCAGUGUGAUUCGUCACACUAUCAUUAACUGAAUCCAUAGGUUAAUGAGGCGAACCGGGGGAACUGAAACAUCUAAGUACCCCGAGGAAAAGAAAUCAACCGAGAUUCCCCCAGUAGCGGCGAGCGAACGGGGAGGAGCCCAGAGCCUGAAUCAGUGUGUGUGUUAGUGGAAGCGUCUGGAAAGGCGCGCGAUACAGGGUGACAGCCCCGUACACAAAAAUGCACAUACUGUGAGCUCGAUGAGUAGGGCGGGACACGUGGUAUCCUGUCUGAAUAUGGGGGGACCAUCCUCCAAGGCUAAAUACUCCUGACUGACCGAUAGUGAACCAGUACCGUGAGGGAAAGGCGAAAAGAACCCCGGCGAGGGGAGUGAAAAAGAACCUGAAACCGUGUACGUACAAGCAGUGGGAGCACAGAGCAAUCUGUGUGACUGCGUACCUUUUGUAUAAUGGGUCAGCGACUUAUAUUCUGUAGCAAGGUUAACCGAAUAGGGGAGCCGAAGGGAAACCGAGUCUUAACUGGGCGUUAAGUUGCAGGGUAUAGACCCGAAACCCGGUGAUCUAGCCAUGGGCAGGUUGAAGGUUGGGUAACACUAACUGGAGGACCGAACCGACUAAUGUUGAAAAAUUAGCGGAUGACUUGUGGCUGGGGGUGAAAGGCCAAUCAAACCGGGAGAUAGCUGGUUCUCCCCGAAAGCUAUUUAGGUAGCGCCUCGUGAAUUCAUCUCCGGGGGUAGAGCACUGUUUCGGCAAGGGGGUCAUCCCGACUUACCAACCCGAUGCAAACUGCGAAUACCGGAGAAUGUUAUCACGGGAGACACACGGCGGGUGCUAACGUCCGUCGUGAAGAGGGAAACAACCCAGACCGCCAGCUAAGGUCCCAAAGUCAUGGUUAAGUGGGAAACGAUGUGGGAAGGCCCAGACAGCCAGGAUGUUGGCUUAGAAGCAGCCAUCAUUUAAAGAAAGCGUAAUAGCUCACUGGUCGAGUCGGCCUGCGCGGAAGAUGUAACGGGGCUAAACCAUGCACCGAAGCUGCGGCAGCGACACUAUGUGUUGUUGGGUAGGGGAGCGUUCUGUAAGCCUGUGAAGGUGUACUGUGAGGUGUGCUGGAGGUAUCAGAAGUGCGAAUGCUGACAUAAGUAACGAUAAAGCGGGUGAAAAGCCCGCUCGCCGGAAGACCAAGGGUUCCUGUCCAACGUUAAUCGGGGCAGGGUGAGUCGACCCCUAAGGCGAGGCCGAAAGGCGUAGUCGAUGGGAAACAGGUUAAUAUUCCUGUACUUGGUGUUACUGCGAAGGGGGGACGGAGAAGGCUAUGUUGGCCGGGCGACGGUUGUCCCGGUUUAAGCGGGUAGGCUGGUUUUCCAGGCAAAUCCGGAAAAUCAAGGCUGAGGCGUGAUGACGAGGCACUACGGUGCUGAAGCAACAAAUGCCCUGCUUCCAGGAAAAGCCUCUAAGCAUCAGGUAACAUCAAAUCGUACCCCAAACCGACACAGGUGGUCAGGUAGAGAAUACCAAGGCGCUUGAGAGAACUCGGGUGAAGGAACUAGGCAAAAUGGUGCCGUAACUUCGGGAGAAGGCACGCUGAUAUGUAGGUGAAGCGACUUGCUCGUGGAGCUGAAAUCAGUCGAAGAUACCAGCUGGCUGCAACUGUUUAUUAAAAACACAGCACUGUGCAAACACGAAAGUGGACGUAUACGGUGUGACGCCUGCCCGGUGCCGGAAGGUUAAUUGAUGGGGUCAGCGCAAGCGAAGCUCUUGAUCGAAGCCCCGGUAAACGGCGGCCGUAACUAUAACGGUCCUAAGGUAGCGAAAUUCCUUGUCGGGUAAGUUCCGACCUGCACGAAUGGCGUAAUGAUGGCCAGGCUGUCUCCACCCGAGACUCAGUGAAAUUGAACUCGCUGUGAAGAUGCAGUGUACCCGCGGCAAGACGGAAAGACCCCGUGAACCUUUACUAUAGCUUGACACUGAACAUUGAGCCUUGAUGUGUAGGAUAGGUGGGAGGCUUUGAAGUGUGGACGCCAGUCUGCAUGGAGCCGGCCUUGAAAUACCACCCUUUAAUGUUUGAUGUUCUAACGUUGGCCCCUGAUCGGGGUUGCGGACAGUGUCUGGUGGGUAGUUUGACUGGGGCGGUCUCCUCCUAAAGAGUAACGGAGGAGCACGAAGGUUGGCUAAUCCUGGUCGGACAUCAGGAGGUUAGUGCAAUGGCAUAAGCCAGCUUGACUGCGAGCGUGACGGCGCGAGCAGGUGCGAAAGCAGGUCAUAGUGAUCCGGUGGUUCUGAAUGGAAGGGCCAUCGCUCAACGGAUAAAAGGUACUCCGGGGAUAACAGGCUGAUACCGCCCAAGAGUUCAUAUCGACGGCGGUGUUUGGCACCUCGAUGUCGGCUCAUCACAUCCUGGGGCUGAAGUAGGUCCCAAGGGUAUGGCUGUUCGCCAUUUAAAGUGGUACGCGAGCUGGGUUUAGAACGUCGUGAGACAGUUCGGUCCCUAUCUGCCGUGGGCGCUGGAGAACUGAGGGGGGCUGCUCCUAGUACGAGAGGACCGGAGUGGACGCAUCACUGGUGUUCGGGUUGUCAUGCCAAUGGCACUGCCCGGUAGCUAAAUGCGGAAGAGAUAAGUGCUGAAAGCAUCUAAGCACGAAACUUGCCCCGAGAUGAGUUCUCCCUGACUCCUUGAGAGUCCUGAAGGAACGUUGAAGACGACGACGUUGAUAGGCCGGGUGUGUAAGCGCAGCGAUGCGUUGAGCUAACCGGUACUAAUGAACCGUGAGGCUUAACCU